This 85-nucleotide transfer RNA is filed under the name Candidatus Yanofskybacteria bacterium RIFCSPLOWO2_01_FULL_49_17. Its description in RNAcentral is "tRNA-Ser". It matches the Rfam family "tRNA". Rfam says of the family: Transfer RNA (tRNA) molecules are approximately 80 nucleotides in length. Their secondary structure includes four short double-helical elements and three loops (D, anti-codon, and T loops). Lineage: Bacteria; Candidatus Yanofskyibacteriota. The record is from RNAcentral.
GGAGGCGUCGCAUAGCGGUCUAGUGCGCUUGCUUGGAAAGCAAGUGUACCGCAAGGUACCGCUGGUUCGAAUCCAGCCGCCUCCG